Molecule: small nucleolar RNA, 106 nt
Filed under: Gossypium hirsutum (cotton)
Lineage: Eukaryota; Viridiplantae; Streptophyta; Magnoliopsida; Malvales; Malvaceae
Description: Plant small nucleolar RNA R71
Rfam family: Plant small nucleolar RNA R71
About the family: R71 is a member of the C/D box family of snoRNAs containing the C (UGAUGA) and D (CUGA) box motifs. Multiple nearly identical copies of this snoRNA have been identified in Arabidopsis, and it is thought to function as a 2'-O-ribose methylation guide for 18S ribosomal RNA.
Source: Rfam by way of RNAcentral
AGUCCAUGGUGUACGCACUUUCUUAGCAUUAUCUUGAACUGCUCCCAUGCCUCGUAUAGGGUAUCACCUUCAAAUUGUUUAGAAUUUGUGAUCUCCCGCCGGAGCU